GGGAAAGAAUAAAAGUAGAAGUCCAGUGGAGGAGAAACAAGAGUCAUCAUAGGCAUCCUGACUGUUUUCAACUCUUCUCCCAUGUCUGCAGUCCUUUUCACUAUGGAGAUUAACAUGGUCAGAAAAUUCAUCACCUGGUGGCCAACCUGUUGGUAAGAUGCUGCUGGUGUAUUCUUUC
RNAcentral lists this long non-coding RNA (178 nucleotides) under Sarcophilus harrisii (Tasmanian devil). Its description in RNAcentral is "lncRNA (ENSSHAG00000024560.1)". The record is from RNAcentral. Lineage: Eukaryota; Metazoa; Chordata; Mammalia; Dasyuromorphia; Dasyuridae.